This 1681-nucleotide long non-coding RNA is filed under the name Malus domestica (apple). Its description in RNAcentral is "long non-coding RNA (MDOM_LNC016225)". Lineage: Eukaryota; Viridiplantae; Streptophyta; Magnoliopsida; Rosales; Rosaceae. The record is from RNAcentral.
AAAAACUAACUUAGCUACUUAUGAUGACAAUAACACCAUAUGUCAUUUUGCAUGCAUAGGAAUGAGAGGGAAAACUAAAAUUAAUGAUAGGAAUUAGCGGGAAAAAAUAGAGGGAAAGUUUUGUUUUUUUUUUAUUUUCAGUUUUUUAAUCAUUUUUAAGAGUGAAAUGUCUUAACUACCCUUACAUGUUGUGCACAUGGUCUUACAUAACAGAAAUAUGGAUGGAAUACAUGAAAAACUAACGGUAGGGGGCAAAUUAACUAAAAAAAAUUAGUUUGAGUUUGUUGAUGCACAAAAUCAGUGAGGACUUUGGUACAACAGAAAGUGUUAAGUUGAUGACCUUUGCUAGAUUGCUCCGAUCACUAGUGUGGAUAGGUAUGUAAAUGGAUAGAGAUAUAGAAGCAAACACAAAAUGUACGUGGUUCAUCCAGAUUGGCUACGUCUACGGAGUAAAGGAGUUCUCAUUAAUUGUGAAGGGUUUACACAAGUACAUAGGUUCAAACUCUCAUUUUGUGAGUACUAGUGAAUGAUUUAAUACAAAUGACAUUAGGAAAUAUUGUGAGAGAAUGAUCUCUAUUUAUAGAAGAGAGUUUCUAGUUUUAUUCUGACAUUGACACGUGUCGUGUUGUGAUUGGCUUCUGAUGUUGACACGUGUCGUGCUAUGAUUAGCUUCUGAUGUUGACACGUGUCACGUUGUGAUUGGCCUCUUGGUUGGAGGGAAACUCAAUGAGAGGGAAAAAUAAAAUUGAUGAUAGGAAUUAGCGGGAAAAAAUAGAGGGAAAGUUUUGUUUUUUUUUUAUUUUCAGUUUUUUAAUCAUUUUUAAGAGUGAAAUGUUUUAACUACUCUCACAUGUUGUGCACAUGGUCUUACAUAACAGAAAUAUGGAUGGAAUACAUGAAAAACUAACGGUAGGGGGCAAAUCAGCUAAAAAAAUUAGUUUGAGUCCUUAAUUUUUCAAUAGAAAAAUUUAAGGGAAAAAUCGAAAGCUAAGUGAAAGUUCAAGAGGUAAAUCGUCAGUUUACUCUAUUAAGUAAUAGCGCGGCGGGAGGGAGAGGGAGUGGGACUGAGUGGGGAGUAGACAUGCAGGACACGCAGCAUAUAAAGCCUGAAGAAAUGCAACCUAGCCCUGCUGGGCCAACAUUGCAUAGCAUAGAACCCCUAGUAGCAUUGUAGCAUUGCCACAGAAAGUGAGAGCAGUUGAAGGAAUCUAUUGCAGAAGCUUUUCUUCUUCCAAUUAAUUGUUAAAUUUACUAUAUUAUAUAAAAAGUAAAUUAACCAAAUUCAUUAAUAUAAGUAGUUCAUCUUUAGUACAGUGUCUUUUUUGUCAAACAAGAUUACUUUCAUUAAUUAAACAAGAAAUAGAAAGUUUAAAGACAAGCUAAAUACAAGCAUAGCCUAAAUGUAAAUAUAACAGAAAAAGAUGAUGCUAUAGAGAUCAAAUUAAUUUUGAAACCAAAUUAUGUGUCACUAAUAAGCAAUAAACAUUUUACUCAACACUUAAGUAAUAAUUCAAUCAUCAACAACCACAUCAUUUGGUUUACAAAAUUUGAUCUACUUAGCAUUACUUUAACAAAAAAACUCAUAAAGAGUAAGCUCACAACAACAAAAACCCUAUAUCUGGAAGAAUGUAGACUCCACCACACUAGCUGGCCAUCGCCAAUCCGCCACCACAACCACCAA